AGGGAAUUUUCGGCAAUGGGGGAAACCCUGACCGAGCAACGCCGCGUGAAGGAAGAAGUAAUUCGUUAUGUAAACUUCUGUCAUAGAGGAAGAACGGUGGAUAUAGGGAAUGAUAUCCAAGUGACGGUACUCUAUAAGAAAGCCACGGCUAACUACGUGCCGGCAGCCGCGGUAAUACGUAGGUGGCGAGCGUUAUCCGGAAUUAUUGGGCGUAAAGAGGGAGCAGGCGGCACUAAGGGUCUGUGGUGAAAGAUCGAAGCUUAACUUCGGUAAGCCAUGGAAACCGUAGAGCUAGAGUGUGUGAGAGGAUCGUGGAAUUCCAUGUGUAGCGGUGGAAUGCGUAGAUAUAUGGAGGAACACCAGUGGCGAAGGCGACGAUCUGGCGCAUAACUGACGCUCAGUCCCGAAAGCGUGGGGAGCAAAUAGGAUUAGAUACCCUAGUAGUCCACGCCGUAAACGAUGAGUACUAAGUGUUGGGUGUCAAAGCUCAGUGCUGCAGUUAACGCAAUAAGUACUCCGCCUGAGUAGUACGUUCGCAAGAAUGAAACUCAAAGGAAUUGACGGGGGCCCGCACAAGCGGUGGAGCAUGUGGUUUAAUUCGAAGCAACGCGAAGAACCUUACCAGGUCUUGACAUCGAUCUAAAGGCUCCAGAGAUGGAGAGAUAGC
RNAcentral lists this ribosomal RNA (667 nucleotides) under uncultured bacterium. RNAcentral describes it as "bacterial SSU rRNA". It matches the Rfam family "Bacterial small subunit ribosomal RNA", at positions 356 to 1018 of the family's 1533-position model. The record is from RNAcentral.